GAUGAACGCUGGCGGCGUGCCUAACACAUGCAAGUCGAGCGGCAGCGCGGGGUGCUUGCACCCUGUCGGCGAGCGGCGGACGGCUGAGUAACGCGUGGGAACGUGCCCCAAAGUGAGGAAUAACUGCCCGAAAGGGUAGCUAAUACCGCAUAUUAUCUUCGGAUCAAAGGAUUUAUCCGCUUUGGGAGCGGCUCGCGUCGGAUUAGGUAGUUGGUGAGGUAAUGGCUCACCAAGCCGACGAUCUGUAGCUGGUCUGAGAGGAUGACCAGCCAGACUGGAACUGAGACACGGUCCAGACUCCUACGGGAGGCAGCAGUGAGGAAUCUUCCACAAUGGGCGAAAGCCUGAUGGAGCAACGCCGCGUGCAGGACGAAGGCCUUCGGGUUGUAAACUGCUUUUAUAAGUGAGGAAUAUGACGGUAACUUAUGAAUAAGGAUCGGCUAACUACGUG
This 451-nucleotide ribosomal RNA is filed under the name uncultured bacterium. RNAcentral's name for it is "partial 16S ribosomal RNA". It matches the Rfam family "Bacterial small subunit ribosomal RNA", at positions 28 to 507 of the family's 1533-position model. The record is from RNAcentral.